UGCUGAUGUUUUGAUUUUUUUCCUGGUGUGGUGGAAAGGGACGUGUUUAUUUUAUGACAACCUGAUAUAUUUACGAAUUGUUUUUAACCGAUAAUAAUUGAUUAUGGCUUUAACUAGUCGUUUCAGUAAUAGAUAGAUUAAUUUCAACAAGUGUCAUGACAUACAACGCUGGUUUUGGUUUCUCUUUGACGCAACAGUUCCUUAACUCUCACUUCCGUUAUCGUGUAACAUCGGGACACAACAUCAGGAGUCUGUGUAUUGGGAAUCCAACCAAUACACAGACUCACGAUGUUGUGUCCCAGAGCUGGUUAUCGUGGUGUCUUGCACACGCAGUCAAGCCCAAUGCAGAGCAGGUUAUCUUGGUGUCUUGCACACGCAGUCAAGCCCAAUGCAGAGCUGGUUAUCGUGGUGUCUUGCACACGCAGUCAAGCCCAAUGCAGAGCAGGUUAUCGUGGUGUCUUGCACACACAGCCAAGCCCAAUGCAGAGCAGGUUAUCGUGGUGUCUUGCACACGCAGUCAAGCCCAAUGCAGAGCAGGUUAUCGUGGUGACUUGCACACGCAGUCAAGCCCAAUGCAGAGCAGGUUAUCGUGGUGACUUGCACACGCAGUCAAGCCCAAUGCAGAGCAGGUUAUCUUGGUGUCUUGCACACGCAGUCAAGCCCAAUGCAGAGCAGGUUAUCGUGGUGUCUUGCACACACAGCCAAGCCCAAC
Long non-coding RNA from Oncorhynchus tshawytscha (Chinook salmon), 712 nucleotides. The record is from Ensembl. Lineage: Eukaryota; Metazoa; Chordata; Actinopteri; Salmoniformes; Salmonidae.